This 398-nucleotide ribosomal RNA is filed under the name Topeliopsis subdenticulata. RNAcentral describes it as "SSU rRNA". It matches the Rfam family "Bacterial small subunit ribosomal RNA", at positions 362 to 759 of the family's 1533-position model. The record is from RNAcentral. Lineage: Eukaryota; Fungi; Ascomycota; Lecanoromycetes; Ostropales; Graphidaceae.
UAUUGGUCAAUGGCCUAACGGCUGAACCAGCAACUUGGAGGAAUGAAUAGCGAAAGCCGGUAAAAAGGUAAUGUACCUAGUAGUAUUAGUAAUUAAUAUGAGAUUAACUAAGUUAGUUAAAAUUCGAUGUGGAUAUUUGAUAAUGACAGUAUCUGCUUAUGUCUUGACCAAGUCACGUGCCAGCAGUCGCGGUAAUACGUGGAAGAUUAGUGUUAUUCAUCUUUAGUAGGUUUAAAGGGUACCUAGACGGUUAACUAAGCAAUGUACUAAUUAACUAGAGUUUAAUGUAAGAUGGAUUGAGUACGGUGAGUGUAGAGAUAUAAUUCUGUGAUACCACGUCGGAACUGGUAAAGGCGAAGGCAACCUUCUAUGUAAAAACUGACGUUGAAGGACGAAGG